Molecule: long non-coding RNA, 416 nt
Filed under: Oncorhynchus kisutch (coho salmon)
Lineage: Eukaryota; Metazoa; Chordata; Actinopteri; Salmoniformes; Salmonidae
Description: lncRNA (ENSOKIG00005015051.1)
Source: RNAcentral
ACUGAUAUCCUGUUGCGUUUUCCCCUGUUUAAGAUGAUAUGAUGGAGGAUACUCCCCUGUCCAUGUGCAGCUUCUGAUGGAGACAGAGAUGACACAGUCUGACCUGAUGGAACAGCCAAACGGACCCCCCCAGACCCUCUGUCUCUGACCAGAACAGCGCAGACUGGCUUUAGUCGAACAUUCAUCUGCGUGACCUACAAAUACAGCGAACUCGAAUAUUGCUAUUCAGCUCCAGUACAUUCAUGUAUACUCAUGCAGUAUGACUUCAACAUCCCCAACUCAUUUUACCCCAAGCUCUAGUGUGUGGCCCAUCGAGGUUGCUAUCCCAAGAAAGGGCACAGGUACCGACAGCUGAAUAUGACAUCAUUGGCUAGAAACAAAUUUGUUUCUAGCCAAUGAAGUACAUCAAAUUUGAU